UCCCUGGUGGUCCAGUGGCUAGAACUCCACACUUCCAAUGUGGGGGUUCCAGGUUCCAUCCCUGAUCAGGGAA
Odocoileus virginianus texanus is the source of this 73-nucleotide non-coding RNA. The record is from the annotation of a RefSeq genome assembly. NCBI's taxonomy places the organism in Eukaryota, Metazoa, Chordata, Mammalia, Artiodactyla, Cervidae.